GCCCCCCAAGAUAGCUCAGUUGGUAGUGCACAAGACUCUUAAUCUCAGGGACGUGGGUUUGAGCCCCAAAGUGGGCA
Non-coding RNA from Podarcis lilfordi (Lilford's wall lizard), 77 nucleotides. NCBI's taxonomy places the organism in Eukaryota, Metazoa, Chordata, Lepidosauria, Squamata, Lacertidae. The record is from the annotation of a GenBank genome assembly.